AGUGAACGCUGGCGGUAGGCCUAACACAUGCAAGUCGAACGGCAGCACAGUAAGAGCUUGCUCUUACGGGUGGCGAGUGGCGGACGGGUGAGGAAUACAUCGGAAUCUACUUUUUCGUGGGGGAUAACGUAGGGAAACUUACGCUAAUACCGCAUACGACCUACGGGUGAAAGCAGGGGAUCUUCGGACCUUGCGCGAUUGAAUGAGCCGAUGUCGGAUUAGCUAGUUGGGGGGGUAAAGGCCCACCAAGGCGACGAUCCGUAGCUGGUCUGGGAGGAUGGUCGGCCACACUGGAACUGGGACACGGUCCAGACGCCUACGGGAGGCAGCAGUGGGGAAUAUUGGACAAUGGGCGCAAACCUGAUCCAGCCAUACCGCGUGGGUGAAGAAGGCCUUCGGGUUGUAAAGCCCUUUUGUUGGGAAAGAAAAGCAGCAGGUUGAUACCCCGCUGUUCUGACGGUACCCAAUGAAUAAGCACCGGCUAACUUCGUG
This 492-nucleotide ribosomal RNA is filed under the name uncultured bacterium. Its description in RNAcentral is "partial 16S ribosomal RNA". It matches the Rfam family "Bacterial small subunit ribosomal RNA", at positions 29 to 507 of the family's 1533-position model. The record is from RNAcentral.